Hevea brasiliensis (rubber tree) is the source of this 2353-nucleotide RNA transcript. It is a transcript of the gene named serine/threonine-protein kinase Nek5, with no coding region annotated. Lineage: Eukaryota; Viridiplantae; Streptophyta; Magnoliopsida; Malpighiales; Euphorbiaceae. The record is from RefSeq and is a predicted model, not a curated record. The transcript is spliced from 7 exons.
GUUGGCUGCUUCACUUUAUUGAAUAUUUGGCGCCUGGGUUUACUAGUAGAGUAACCAAAUCCUGUGGUCACCUAAAAACAUGACCUAUACAUGAAUGUAGUUGAACAAAAAGACACUUUCUUUUUUAAUUGAAACGCAAACGUCCUACUCCAAAAGAAGCGAAUCAAAGAUUGUUCUGGUGCUUUAUUAACUGCUGAAAAACACAACAAAGCCAGGAACCAAAUGAUUCCAUUUCAGGAAAGAAAAAAAAAUCUCUAACUUGACUCCGUUGCUGGCGAAAUAAGUCCAUUUUAAUAAUCCAAUUACUGGAUCUAUGAGGAGGAGGAGGAUUUGUUGGACAUUCAGAAUGUUUACCAAGAGAGAGUAAGUGAUGGAAUCUCGAAUGGAUCAGUAUGAGAUCAUGGAGCAGAUCGGUCGCGGUGCCUUCGGCGCCGCCAUUCUUGUCCACCAUAAGUCCAAGAAGAAGAAGCACCUCUCUCUUUCCGUCUCCAUUCGUAUGUGUUGAAGAAGAUCCGGCUUGCACGGCAAACUGAGCGAUGCGGGAGAUCUGCUCAUCAAGAAAUGGUCUUUAUUGCGCGAAUUCAACAGCCUUGCAUUGUAGAAUUCAAAGAAGCAUGGGUUGAGAAGAAACUUUGCAUGUGGUUCACACAACUACUGCUAGCUGUUGAAUAUCUGCAUGCCAAUUUCGUUCUGCAUCGUGACCUGAAAUGUUCCAACAUCUUUCUUACCAGAGAUCAGGAUGUUCGCCUUGGUGAGUUUCUUUUACUGACAUUUAGUUAUCAUUUCCUUGGACUUUAUUGCUCUAUUAAUUUUUUUUUUCUUGAUCAUAUUUCGGGGAUUUUGGACUUGCUAAAACUUUGAAAGCAGAUGACUUGGCCUCCUUGGUAUAUGCUCUUUUAUUGGAUUGAUUUUGUUUCAAAUUUUUGUUAUUGCCAUUUGCCUGUUUUAUGGAAUGUAAGUUCUUGAGCUAGAUUUCCUAUUUUCUCCUUUGAGAUAUUUUUUCCCCUUGCAUUUCUUUUUUGUCCACAACUGUGUAGAACUAUAAGAAGCAGGAUAAUGCAGAAAUAUCUAUUUUUGCAUUUGAGACUCAUUGCAUGAAGAUGAAAUCCUUACAUUAUAGACUACGUAGAUUUAUAAGAAAUGUAAUAUAUUAAAUGUGUAUGUAACAAUUCAUCUUUAUGGGAAGAGGUGGCCGUGCUUUAUUUUUCUUGCUAAUUGCAUUUGAAGUUCAUGUGGCCAAAGCUGAGUUCUUUGAAUUUUUACUAUAGCUAUUCAUGUCUAAUCACUUCACUAAAAAGAAAUGAGUGCAUGACAUAUUUUUUCUGAAAAUUUAUUUCAUUUUUUUUUUAGUGAUAGAAAUCUGAUCAAGGGAAUAAGCUCAUUUCAAAUGAUUAAUUGUUGACGAAGAAAUAAAAUUUUCAGAUUAUCUAGAAGACAUAUAUGCCCAAAGACCAAAUGUCUGAUUUGAAACCAUAAGGAAUAUCUGCAAGGAGUUCAGGACACAUAUAAUUGGGAGUUCCAACCACCUGCGCAUAUGGUUACAAAACAACUUUUAGUCUCAAGAUGGUGAAGCAAUUAACAAUCAUCUCUUACGAUAGGGAAUUACUAUAUCAUCGAUUCCUUUGCAAAAAUUGUGUUUAACUGCUGCUUCUUGUCUAAACAAUUUGUUUAUGUGUAGAUCACCAUAUCUUUCCUGAUGUUGCAUAGAACACAUUGUAUUAAGUAUUACUGGAGUCACUCAUCAAUUCUAGUUAGUAUUAACAUAUAAAUUGAUACAGUAAAUGGAAUGUGACAUUUUCUUUAUUUUUAAUGCUGUGCAACAGAAUGACAUUAGAUUAAAAUAUGUAAGGGGUUCUUGGAGUUCAAUCAUUGCUUGAAAUUUCCAUGCAUUCUCAACCAUCAUGAUAACCUAAUGGGAUUUGCUUGCCUUUCAUUUACAGAGUUUUUAUGCACUGAAAUAGUUUGCAAAGCCAGCUGAGUUUCUGUAUAUUUUAACAACACAUGCAGGCAUGUUCUAUUGUCACUGCAUAAAGUAUUACUAAAAAAAUUAGUGACUGCUAUAGGUUCUGAACUCUUUUGCCUUUACAAUGCACUCCAGAAUUUAAAGUUCUUUAGAAAUUAGAAGCAUGCAUGAUCAGGGAUUUAGUGUUAAGUAUCUGUUUAAGGGUUUCUGUAACUUAUUUUAUAUUUGAUUUCAUGAGUUGAGUUUUUCAACUUUCUCUCAUUUACAAAAUGCCUCUAUAUGUCUUUCAGGACAUGGCAGGACUGAUAAGCAAGAUAAAUCGUUCCUCAAUUGGCCCUCUUCCUUCUUGCUACUCUCCACCCUUAAAAACAUUGAUCAAAGGCAUGUUGA